GUGAGGCAGUGUAUAUAUGUUGGUUUAGUUACUGUAGAUUCUAAUCGAGAGACAUGAGAUCUCCCAAACAUAUGAGAACAAAUCCUAACAUCUUCUCUUCCGCCGAACUUCCUUUUGAUGUGAUUUCAGAAAUACUAGGUAGGUUAUCGGUGAAGUCCCUUCUCCAAUUCCGAUGCGUCUCCAAAUCAUGGAAGUCACUCAUCUCUGAUCCACAAUUUGCUAAAAAGCACCUUAACUUGUCCACCACGCGCCGCCUCCUCCGUGUAAGCUACGACAGUCCCUCGCACAGGUUUAUUUUAAAUUCUUACUCCCUCCAAUCCGUUUUCACAGAUACAAACUAUAACCUCACUCGAUUCCAGUUUCCCCUCGAUGUUAUUUCUGAACGCUACUCCCAUCACCUUGUUGGCUCUUGUGACGGAAUUCUCUGUGUUGCCAAUUAUCGCAUUUCCCCGGAUUAUAAACGUUUCGUUGUACUGUGGAAUCCUUCUAUUAGAAAAUAUAAGGAAUUGCCCCAUUUUGAAAACCCAGCUGAGCUCUAUCGCCUUCGGCUUCGUAUGACAUAUGGCUUCGGCUAUGAUCAUGUUUCUCAUGAUUACAAACUGCUUGUUCUUUACAGCUGCCUCACUGAACACACAACCAGAGCAAAGGUUUAUACUUUGAAGACUGAUUCUUGGAGAACCAUUCAACCGUUCCCUUCAGAUUUUGGUACUCUCCCUGAUUAUCCACAGGGAAGAUAUGGAAAAUAUGUAAGCAGUACAGUUAAUUGGAUGACCUGUCAACGCUGGAUUGUUUCUUUUGAUUUAGUCAACGAGUCUUAUAGAAAGAUUUUGCCUCCUCGACAACAAAGAGAACCUAUAUAUUUGGGUUUGAGUGUGUUGAGGGAUUGGUUAUGCAUAAUUUCGGAUCAUGAUGUUUGGGUCAUGAAGGAAUAUGGAAUUCGAGACUCUUGGACUAAAUUGUUCAAUGUUACUCACUUGCUAGAUCCUCCAUCUAAUUCUUUUCGCUUGACAAAUGUAAUCUUUCAAGACGAUCAAGUGCUGCUCGUGUUUAAACAUUUUUUGGGUAGUAUGUCGUUGAUUGUUUACAAUUUCAAGAAUGAUACUUCUAAAGUUAGUUCAAUGUUGAAAGACAUCUCAGAAGAUUGUGUUGAGAGUUUGAUAUCACCUUGGUCUUAAUGCUAGAAUUAUUUUUGAAGUAGAUCAAGAUCAAAUGCUGCAAUGCUGCUGUUGCUGUUUCAGGAGACUUCAAGAAAGAAAUUUAGUGUUGAAAGUUUGUUACUUUAUUUUUAUUAUUCUUUAUUUUUAACUGAAAUUAGUGAUUUUUUUUCAUAUAUGUAUUUUAGUUUCUUUGUUAUGGUAACUUAAUACUAAUUCUUAACUUUUUAUUGUGAUAUUUUGUUUUGAAUUGAACAAUUGAAUUUUCUAGCAAUACAUUUUAUAUAGAAUCUCUUGUAUUUUUAUUGACGUACCGUGCUUUGAUUUUUCUAAUUCUUUACAACUACUGCUAUUGCAAUUUCUGCUGUUUCAUUCUUAACAUCAUAUUUACUUGACAGCAACACCAAUAAACUCUGAUAAAUUGAGGCAGGAUGAGGCGCUAUAGUGUUAUGCAAAUGAAUUAAAAUACAGGAAGUUUUGGGAAGACACAAUCGCUAACCGUUGCAUCAGAUUCAAUUGAAGUUGUUCAUACUGGUGCGGCUUUGCAUUGGUGGCCAUCUCCCUCCAAUACUGUAAGUUACACAUCUUUUUUGAUGAAAUUUAGGGUAAACUUUUUAUCACCUACAUGUUGAUACUAGUCAUGUAUUGAGUAACCACUUGGUUGGAAAUUCAGUUGUUAUUUUCUGUUUUUGAAUCCUUUUUUCAAACUGCAUGUUAACCUAAGGGAGAGGUUAGUGGACCUUGGAGAUGAAUCCACUUAGUUUUUAACAUUUAAUAUGGUCACACUUUGUGAUCCUUAACCUUUACUCUCAAGUUUCUAACCCAAACUUACUUUCACUCAUAAAUUAGCUCCUUAUCUCAUAUCACAUGCAUGCUGGAACUUAUUUCAUGCUAACUUUCUUUGAAAUCUGUUAAAACAGAGCCCCAAGUUUAUUCACUGCACUUAAUUGAUUUAUUUAUCACAUAACUCUAUAUUUUCAAUGUCAAAAAUAAUAUGAUGCAUCAUUUUUAGAUUUUGUAUUUUGUAGUUCAUGCACCAUUUUCAGAUUUUGUAUUUUGUAGUUCAUGCACCAUUUUCUUUGCUUUAUAAAAAAAAGUCAUAUUUAGUCACCAAGACUCUUAAUUUAAUUUAAUGUUCCGUUUUAGUUUUUUAAUUAAAAAAUAUUACAAGUUAGUCCCUUAAUUUCACUUCGGUUAUUUUAUUUGUUACAUUCCGUUAAUUUCUGACAAAAAAAUAAUAUUAAGUUCUGGUGACGUGAAUGUACAACAAAACUCAAAGUCUAAAUAUGAUUAAAUAUUUUUACAAUAUUUAUAACCGUAACCCCUUCUCCCUUUCUAUAAUUAAUAUUUCCUAAGUUACAUCUAAUUUAGUGCCUAAUCAAUUGAGCCACCCAUGCCAUUAGAAGCUCGAGCAAAUUGAGUUCACAAUCUACCUAAUCUCCGAGAGCUUUAACAUAUUCUUUAUUUAGUUUAGAGCAACAUUCAUCAAUAACUUUACUUGUAGUACUGAAUGUGAAUUUAGAAGGAGCUUUAACAUAUUCUUUAUUUAGUUUAGAGCAACAUUCAUCAAUAACUUUAUUUGUAGUACUGAAUGUGAAUUUAGAAGCUAUAGUCAAAGAUUAGAAUAACUAGUAUAUCAACAACCAUCUUAAACAAUAUUUUAUAUUUCAUAAUGUUGUUCCAUUUUAUGGAUGUUAAUACUAGGGGUAUAAAAACGGGCUUGAUCCGUUGGACAUGUCCCUUUGCUCACACUUUAGUGUGAGGCGUACCAAGGUUUUAGGCCUGCAUCCUCAACUAUGACUGCCCGCCCCAUUUUCUUGCGGACUUUCAUGGGGCAGGCUCUUAAACGGGGAAGACAUGCUCGUUUGCCACCCCUAAUUAAUACCUUCAUCAAAAUAAUUUUACAAUUAUAAUUAUAUUGUAAUUAGAGGAAUGCCUUAUUCUUGAAUAAUGCUUAGAAUUUCAUCAAAUUCAAUUCUGACAGUUGCGACAGUUGCAACAUACUCAUCAUAUAAUUCUUUCAAUGAACACAUGUCCCACAUGUCCUUCUUUAUUUUUUCAAUAAAACUUCUUUAAAUUUACAUAUCUUGGGAAAACAUAUACGCUCCGAAUGAAAUUUGCACAUAGAAUUCAAAACACUAGUUACAACUAUCAACAUAUUACACUCCCCCAGUAUUUGCAAAACUAUAUUUUUAUUGGAUCCACCAUUUUUCUCAUGAAGAGAUCUUCAUCUUCACCGUCCUUAUCAAGUAUCUCUUUUACCUUUCAAAUUUCUGAUAGAUACAAAUUUACAGUCAGAUAUUCAUUACCUACAUCUACAUUUAAAAUGGUAGUUGUAGUAAACAAUAAUAAAAUAAUAAAGUAAAAAAAAUAAGAAAAAUAGUAAUUGUAGUAAACAAUAGUAAAAUAAUAAAGUGAAUAAAAAUAAAAAUAAAUAUUUGAUAAACUACAUGAGAUCACAUGAUUAAAUACUUAUAGAAGUUUACAAAUUUUUUCAACUUUAUUUCAUUAUGUAAGUGAAAGGGCAUAAUCAUAACGAGUCUCUUUUUUAUAGUCUACAAAUGAAAUCUAAAAGUUCAAAAUAGUUGGCAACAUAUUAAAGGUUGAAUUCUAUUUUGUUGGAGAAUCAACAAUGAGUUUCCUUUCUUUCAAACUUUUCUCCUCGACCACAUCACAAAAUGUCUUUAGUUUUGCAUUAUUGUGGUCAACAUAUUUGACACUUUUACAAAUAUUAAAAAGAUGUCCUUAAAUUUACUAAGAUCGUCAUGGACCAACAAAUUCAAUACAUAGACACAACAUCUUACAUGAUACAAAGAGCCAUCAAGGAUUAACUUAGAGAUAAAUUAUCUUUGAGGCAUCUUAAGCAUGAUUCAUUAUAAGAAGCAUUAUCAAUGGAUACUGAAAAUAAUUUAUUUUGAAUCUCAAAGUUUUCAAACAUUUAUAAAUAGAAUCAGCCACAUCAAUACCACGCCUUGGUGCACGCACUUCCACAAAAAUCAAAACUCUUUUUUAAAGAUUUCAUCAUGCAUCAAUGAAAUAUCCUAUGAUAACUAGGAGGGAAAAACGGGCAUGACUGGCCCAUUUAGGCCUGCUCCAUAAAAAAAGGGGCAGGAUGGAGUAGACAUCCUUAGGUGUGACAUGCAGAUGACACCUAGUCAUUAUGUAAUAUUUGCGAGCAAUUUCGAAAAAAUAGGUGGAAUAAUGAGAAAAAAUAAAGCAAAUAGGUGGAAAAAGAGAAAAAUCUUCAAAGGAGAAAAAAUGGGGACUUCGUAAAAAAUUGAAGAAAAAGUAAGAAAAGAGAAGAAUUUACCACUACUUUUCUCGCGACUGCGAUGCUCUCAUCGUGGGCGUGAUGAAGGAACAUCGUGAUCGCGAUGACACGCUUUUCUGACACAUUUAUUUUGCAACUUUAAAUAGAGAAAGUGGAAUUUUUUUAGGGUUCCGUAUUUAGAGAGAAAGUGACACCAAGAGCUUUUGUAAAUGAGUUUGGAGAGCAUUGGAGCCAUUGGAGAACUUAUUUCCAUUGAUUUUGAUGAAUACUUCCUAUCAAGUCAGGGUAAUUUUCACUGAGUAGCUAAGUUAUUUUAGAUUAGGUCUUUUGAGAAGAACCUAAUUGUACUUUGUUGGAUUAUAUGACUGUUUGAGAUUAUUUGAAUGCUUUUAUGUUAUUAUCAUUUUGUAAUUGUUCGUAUUCUUAAUGAUGUUUGUGUGUUGACGAAUGCAUAAAUUUAUUUUAAAUGUGUAUGGAUUAUUGACCAUAUGUCUACCGAUCUGAAUUAGGGCAAUUAUUUAACUUAGUAAUUAAAUGGAAAUAGGUAAUUAUAAGUUGUGGCGUUUGAAUUAACAAACAUAGAGACACCUAGUUUAACUUUGAAUUGGUCUAAGGAAUUAGGAAUUAUUCUCUAUAUUAGUGAGUUGUACACCGAGAAAUUGGGUACAAAAGUCUUGUUUAGGGGCGGCAGAGUGGGUGGCCCGCUCUGUUUAGGCCAUUCCUGUUUAAGCCUGUCCAAAGGUAGGGCGAGACGGGACAAACUAACUUAGACAUCUGAGCUCAAAAGUCUUGUCUGCCUUGUUUAUUAACGAGUUGACGAGUUGGUGAGCCAGUCCGCUAAUAUUUUCUUAUAGUUUGAUUUACUGUAUAAUUUAUUUUUUUAAAUUAUAAUCAAAGAGACCGUCCAAAAAUAUUUUUUAAUAACGCAUAAUAGAACACGCCGAAAAAAUAAUAUGCUAAUUCUUGAUUUCAUUCGUGUCUUAUUUGAGUUCUAUCAACAGGCGACCACAACAUCAAUGAAUAUAGUAACUUGAAAUAAGACAUCAUACACAGCUUGUUCAUACAAUGAUCAACUGCAUAAAGCAUGGUAUAAUGACUACUAAGUGGGUUGUAUGACCAUGCUUGUUGCAAGAUGAAUGUAGUGUGUGUUGUAAUAAUUGCAUGUGAUUGCCAAUUAAUUGUGAGCAUUUGUCACUUAAAGCAGUUGAUGUGUAAAUGUACUUACGAAUCUUGUACGAAAUGUUAAGUGCUUUAUAUGUUAACGAUAAUUAUUUUCAUUGGUUCGAGACUAGUUUGGGUUAAAAUCUCCGUUCUUCUUGGUCAACUUAUUCAAAACCUUGGUUCGAUUUGUGAGUUCAUGCUGGUUCAAAAGCUCUCCUUGGUUCAAGACAAGUCUUUGUAAAAUCUCGGUGUAUCUUGGGGAUUAACUGCUUUAAGUUGCUGUUUGGAAAUAAGACUAACAACUUCAAUCCUCUGUUUGGAAGGAAGACUAACAACUUCUCUCAAGUGUUUGCUGUUUGGUUGAAAGUUUGUCUAAAACUUCAAUUUUUCUAGUAUAAGGUAGUUUGAGAGUUCAACCUACUAAAAAUUCUAAAUAUUUACUAGAUACUAUCAAGGUCAAAUUGGGGAAAAAACUAAUUCUUGUUGAUUUAACUUGUAUAACUCUCUGGUAUAUUCUCUCUUCUCUUAACUUUUACUUUCCGCAAUUUAAAAUUAUGCUAGUAAAUUAUAAAACAUUUUAAAAAUGUUUUUUUUCUGAAAAUAUGUGAAAAUUUUCAAACUACCAUUUUUAUGAAACACUUAAUUCACCCCUCUUGUGUGUGGAGCCACAUGUCCAAUAGAGUGAAACUUUUGGAAUGACAUGAAGCAUCAUUGAUCACACGCGCGCGCGCACACACACACAAGGCUAAGUUAUAGCGACGAACAAUUUGUGCCAAUUUUUGGAUGCAUUCCUUUGAGAAAAAAUUUAGACUACAUGAAAUAUGCGCUAAAGUAAGAGACGAAGGAAGUAUGUUUUUCUGAUAUUAUAUGUUGGAUCACCUGAGUUUAUGUAAUGAUUCAAGUUUGGGGGGACGGGUGUGAUAUCUCACUAUUUGUGAGAGAUCCAGGCCCUUAUUACAUGACUUUAUUUUGUGAUUUGAAAGCUUUAUUAGGUUAAUCUCAGUAGAUUUUUUUUAAGAUCAUUUUGUAUAGAGCAUAAUAGUUGUUAUCUUUUGUGGGUUUUAUGUGUUUUUCAUUUAUGUAUGGUUGCUCUAUGAUUAGUUCUGGAAGGACAUAAUAGGAGUAUCAAUUCAACCUCACAUCCCAGCAGUCCUUAGAGCCAAAAGAUGGUGUAAGGAGCGAAGUUCCUUUGCAUUAGGAAAAACGUGGCAACAAUGUGGAGAAUGGAGUGCAAGUGAGCAGGAAAACUGAAUGGAUAAGAUCAAACACUCCAGGACCAGAUUCUGCAAAUGUUGUUGCACACUAAAUUACGCGUGCUGCUUGUCAAAUUAUUUUUGUAGCAUAUAUGCCACAACACCUAUUGCCCCCUUCACGUUAGAGUUUUACUACUUGAUACGGAUUAUAGGGAAAUGAGAAGGAAUAUGUUGAUUGUUAGAAUAAGAAUUGUUCUGAUCAAUAUUCUUAGUUUUGAUGAUAACAAUGUAUAUGAAUUUUGUAUAAGAUAAUGUGGUACUCUAAUCCUAUGCAAUUUCCAUUUCAGGAAAUAUAUAAAGAGUAUGCACAAAAUCAACGCAAGAAGCACUGACUCAGAAGGUUCAGCAUGCAACAUCAGAACAUGCUCUGGCAAGACAUCAGAAGAUGGUCAAGCAGAAUCAGAACAUGGUCUAUUGAAGCAUCAGAAGAACUUGAGAUCAGAAGCAGAAGCACUGAAGUUCUCAUGGUAUCACGCUAGAAGCACUUCAAGAUCAGAAGACAAGAAGAUGCUCUGCACCAAGCUGCUAUGACUCUGAUAUAUUCAAACGUUGUAUCUACAAAGGUCAGAUCAGAAGCAAGUACAAGAUGGCAGGCUACGCUGACUGACAAAAGGAACGUUAGAAGCUAUUAAAGGCAAAGUCAGUUAAAGCAGGAAAAGCAAGGCUCGAGGUAGUUGACAAAAGAGUGAAACAUUGAAUGCAAUGCUGUACGGAUCACGCAACGCAUUAAAUGCUCCCAACGGUCAUCUUCUCAAACGCCUAUAUAUAGAAGUUCUGAUGAGAAGCUGAAAACAACACUUUGCGCUAACAUACAGAAACGCUGUCAAAUUCAAAAGCUCUCAAACUUCAUCUUCAACCUCACUUCAUUACUGUUGUAAUAUCUUAGUGAGAUUAAGCUUAAACUUUAAGAGAAAUAUCACAGUUGUGAUUAUAGCUUUUAAGAAGCAUUGUAUAACUCUUGUAAGAAUUUGUUUACAUUCAUUUGUAAAGAUCUAGAGGAGAUCAAGUUGUGAUCGGAUUCUCUAGAAAGUCUUAGAGGGUAUCUAAGCAGUGUGUUCCUAGAGUGAUCAGGUUGUGAUCAGAAUACUCUAGAAGACUUAGAGGGUAUCUAAGUGGAAAACCAUUGUAAUCAAGAUUGAUUAGUGGAUUAAAUCCUCAGGUGAGGUAAAUCACUCUAAGGGGGUGGACUGGAGUAGUUUCGUUAACAACGAACCAGGAUAAAAGUAUUGUGUUCAUUGUUUUUA
This is an RNA transcript of Vicia villosa (hairy vetch), 8083 nucleotides long. It is a transcript of the gene named F-box/kelch-repeat protein At3g23880-like, with no coding region annotated. The record is from RefSeq and is a predicted model, not a curated record. The transcript is spliced from 2 exons. Lineage: Eukaryota; Viridiplantae; Streptophyta; Magnoliopsida; Fabales; Fabaceae.